GGGAGAUCUUGUUUAGCAAAUAAGACACACAGACACGAAAGAGUGCAUAACAAGUUCUCAAUGAGUAUAUUUUCAGGGCUAGCAUUUAUACACAAUUUCUCAUGCAAGCAGUGAGAUCUAUAGUGUCCUUGUGGUUAAUAGUACAUACUUGUUGGACAUGAAAAAGAUAAGCAUUUGGAUGAAGACGAGACAGGAACAUCCUAAGAUCAAGGAAGGUCAUACAUCCUGUAGAGGAAAGACCUUGGUACAAAAUACAUCUGCCAAAGUCAGCAUAAUUAUUUCAAACAUUAUUUUAAAGCAUAUAAAGCAAAAAGAGUUAACCAUUUCACUUCCUUACACACAGGGUUAAAGCAGCAGGAAACUGAUAGACUCCUUAUUACACACAGAGUACACAGGGUUAAAGCAGCAGGAUACUGAUAGACCCCUUACUACACACAGUGUACACAGGGUUAAUGCAGGAUACUGAUAGACUCCUUAUUACACACAGUGUACACAGGGUUAAUGCAGGAUACUGAUAGACUCCUUAUUACACACAGUGUACACAGGGUUAAAGCAGCAGGAUACUGAUCGACUCCUUAUUACACACAGUGUACACAGUGUUAAAGCAGCAGGAUACUGAUGGAUUCCUUAUUACACACAGUGUGCACAGGGUUAAUGCAGGAUACUGAUAGACUCCUUAUUACACACAGUGUACACAGGGUUAAAGCAGCAGGAUACUGAUAGACUCCUUAUUACACACAGUGUACACAGGGUUAAAGCAGCAGGAUACUGAUAGACUCCUUAUUACACACAGUAUACACAGGGUUAAAGCAGCAGGAUACUGAUAGACUCCUUAUUACACACAAUGUACACAGGGUUAAUGCAGGAUACUGAUAGACUCCUUAUUACACACAGUGUACACAGGGUUAAAGCAGCAGGAUACUGAUAGACUCCUUAUUACACACAAUGUACACAGGGUUAAUGCAGGAUACUGAUAGACUCCUUAUUACACACAGUGUACACAGGGUUAAUGCAGGAUACUGAUAGACUCCUUAUUACACACAGUAUACACAGGGUUAAAGCAGCAGGAUACUGAUAGACUCCUUAUUACACACAGUGUACACAGGGUUAAUGCAGGAUACUGAUAGAUUCCUUAUUACACACAGUGUGCACAGUGUUAAUGCAGGAUACUGAUGGAUUCCUUAUUACACACAGUGUAACCCCAAAGUUGCCUCCUGCAUCAAUGUUCACUCCUCCCCUGGGGGAUCAAGGAUUAUAAACUGUAGACGUAAAUUGCUUCCAAAUCUUUCUUCUAAAUUUCUAGAAGUAUUCUAACGUGGUGAUGGUGGUGUUUCAUGGUUGUCGUGUCGCCUGGCUGAGUGUUGCAGUGUGCCUAGGCUUGUUACCACGCCAACGCAGUUGGUAUACAGUUGUGCUCAAACAUUUGCAUACCCUUGGUAAUAUAUGUAUAAUUUUUAAAGGCAAAAAAUUUUUUAGGCGUUCCUAAAAUUUAACUUUUAUUAAAUAUAAUUAAAAUUAAUCCUUGUAAUGAUCUACAUAAAAUGUAAAAUGUAUACUCACUACAGAUUAGAGCAGGGGUAGUCAACCUUUUUAACACUUACAGCCCACUUUUGUAUCUUUGUUGAUGGUAACAUUUCUUUACCGCCCACCAGUGCAGGUGCGAUUUUUAUUUUAUUUUUAGAAAGGUGUGG
Molecule: long non-coding RNA, 1691 nt
Filed under: Pelobates cultripes (western spadefoot toad)
Lineage: Eukaryota; Metazoa; Chordata; Amphibia; Anura; Pelobatidae
Source: RNAcentral